Molecule: ribosomal RNA, 253 nt
Filed under: uncultured bacterium
Lineage: Bacteria
Description: partial 16S ribosomal RNA
Rfam family: Bacterial small subunit ribosomal RNA
Source: RNAcentral
UACGUAGGGGGCUAGCGUUGUCCGGAAUCAUUGGGCGUAAAGCGCGUGUAGGCGGUCCGGUAAGUCCGCUGUGAAAGUCGGGGGCUCAACCCUCGGAUGCCGGUGGAUACUGUCGGGCUUGAGUACGGAAGAGGCGAGUGGAAUUCCUGGUGUAGCGGUGAAAUGCGUAGAUAUCUGGAGGAAUACCGGUGGCGAAGGCGGCAUCCUGGACCGACAUUGACGCUGAGGAGCGAAAGCUAGGGUAGCAAACAGG